GAUGAACGCUGACAGAAUGCUUAACACAUGCAAGUCUACUUGAACUUCGGUUUGGGUGGCGGCCGGGUGAGUAACGCGUAACGAACUUGCCUCACAGUUAGGGACAACAUUUGGAAACGAAUGCUAAUACCUGAUAUUAUGAUUUUAGGGCAUCCUAGGAUUAUGAAAGCUAUAUGUGCUGUGAGAGAGCUUUGCGUCCCAUUAGCUAGUUGGAGAGGUAACGGCUCACCAAGGCGAUGAUGGGUAGCCGGCCUGAGAGGGUGAACGGCCACAAGGGGACUGAGACACGGCCCUUACUCCUACGGGAGGCAGCAGUGGGGAAUAUUGGACAAUGGACCAAAAGUCUGAUCCAGCAAUUCUGUGUGCACGAUGACGUUUUUCGGAAUGUAAAGUGCUUUCAGUUGGGAAGAAAAAAAUGACGGUACCAACAGAAGAAGUGACGGCUAAAUACGUG
Molecule: ribosomal RNA, 454 nt
Filed under: uncultured bacterium
Lineage: Bacteria
Description: partial 16S ribosomal RNA
Rfam family: Bacterial small subunit ribosomal RNA
Source: RNAcentral